AUUGAACGCUGGCGGAAUGCUUUACACAUGCAAGUCGAACGGCAACACGGACUUCGGUCUGGUGGCGAGUGGCGAACGGGUGAGUAAUGUAUCGGAACGUGCCCAGUCGUGGGGGAUAACGUAGUGAAAAUUACGCUAAUACCGCAUACGAUCUAUGGAUGAAAGCGGGGGAUCGCAAGACCUCGCGCGAUUGGAGCGGCCGAUAUCAGAUUAGGUAGUUGGUGGGGUAAAGGCCCACCAAGCCAACGAUCUGUAGCUGGUCUGAGAGGACGACCCGCCACACUGGAACUGAGACACGGUCCAGACUCCUACGGGAGGCAGCAGUGGGGAAUUUUGGACAAUGGGCGAAAGCCUGAUCCAGCCAUUCCGCGUGCAGGAUGAAGGCCCUCGGGUUGUAAACUGCUUUUGUACAGAACGAAAAGGUUUCUACUAAUACUAGGAGCUCAUGACGGUACUGUAAGAAUAAGCACCGGCUAACUACGUGCCAGCCGCCGCAGUAA
This 500-nucleotide ribosomal RNA is filed under the name uncultured bacterium. RNAcentral describes it as "partial 16S ribosomal RNA". It matches the Rfam family "Bacterial small subunit ribosomal RNA", at positions 30 to 523 of the family's 1533-position model. The record is from RNAcentral.